CGGUUUGCAUCCGUGCGCCUGCUCACCUAUAUAGGAUAUGUCCUUCGGGACUAUGGACAUAAACGCGCUCGUAAUAAGCGGAUCGGACCCGGGGGCGGUACCCGGCGGCUCCACCAACCAUCCUUCGUUUGAGGAUUUUGGGGCCGAAAUAGGAUCGACGAACGUCUAAAGGGGUUAGCUUUGUCUCGGCUGUCUGCCACCGUUACCGGCGAAAAUAGUACAAUUGCAAACGACAAUCGUGCUCCGGUUGCAGUUGCUGCGUAAGCAGUAACUAGACCGAAACUUAAGCCCUUGCGCCUAGCCGCGUAAGGCGGGGUUCGCAGGUACCUGGCAACAGAAACCUGCAUU
Non-coding RNA from Ruegeria sp., 348 nucleotides. The record is from Rfam. Lineage: Bacteria; Pseudomonadati; Pseudomonadota; Alphaproteobacteria; Rhodobacterales; Roseobacteraceae.